This is a long non-coding RNA of Prunus avium (sweet cherry), 386 nucleotides long. RefSeq lists it as uncharacterized. Lineage: Eukaryota; Viridiplantae; Streptophyta; Magnoliopsida; Rosales; Rosaceae. The record is from RefSeq and is a predicted model, not a curated record.
ACCAGUUUAGAGAACUCCGCUAGCAUUUUCUUUGGUCUUGUGGCUGGAGUAUUUUUUGCCAGAGCCAAAAUGCGGGAGAGAUCUCAAUCCUGAACUGUUGUAACUUGUUAGUGUUUGAUACGUCCAAGUUUUUCACUGUGUGAAAGCUGCAUCCGGCUGCCUUAAUAUCUCAUUCUUCAUUUGUGGGAAAUCAUUUUAUAGAUUCUCAUGAAGUCUUAAGAAGAUUCUGCUGGGCAUUAGGAAAACUUCCAUUCAACUUCAUCAGGCCAUCUAGAGAUGUUGUGUACCAAACCGUACCACUAAUUUUUUCACCAAUCUGUAUUUUGUUGUGUAACGCAUUCCUCUGUAUCAUCUUUGCUAGUCUUAUACAAACAAUUAUUCUGAAA